Molecule: non-coding RNA, 96 nt
Filed under: unclassified sequences
Description: DUF3800-VII RNA
Rfam family: DUF3800-VII RNA
Source: Rfam by way of RNAcentral
AGUGAGUAAGUAGUUCGCUGAGUCAACUAAAGGGUGCUUAUGCACCAGCAUGCAUGCCAUGUGGGAUCCUUUAGUCAGGGGAAAACUCACUUUUUU